This 253-nucleotide ribosomal RNA is filed under the name uncultured bacterium. RNAcentral's name for it is "partial 16S ribosomal RNA". It matches the Rfam family "Bacterial small subunit ribosomal RNA", at positions 524 to 776 of the family's 1533-position model. The record is from RNAcentral.
UACGUAGGGUCCGAGCGUUGUCCGGAAUUACUGGGCGUAAAGAGCUCGUAGGUGGUUUGUCGCGUUGUUCGUGAAAACUCACAGCUCAACUGUGGGCGUGCGGGCGAUACGGGCAGACUAGAGUACUGCAGGGGAGACUGGAAUUCCUGGUGUAGCGGUGGAAUGCGCAGAUAUCAGGAGGAACACCGAUGGCGAAGGCAGGUCUCUGGGCAGAUACUGACGCUGAGGAGCGAAAGCGUGGGGAGCGAACAGG